CACGUAGGGUGCGAGCGUUGUCCGGAAUUAUUGGGCGUAAAGAGCUCGUAGGCGGUGUGUCGCGUCGGCCGUGAAAACCUGCAGCUUAACUGUGGGCUUGCGGUCGAUACGGGCAUCACUGGAGUUCGGCAGGGGGGACUGGAAUUCCUGGUGUAGCGGUGAAAUGCGCAGAUAUCAGGAGGAACACCGGUGGCGAAGGCGGGUCUCUGGGCCGAUACUGACGCUGAGGAGCGAAAGCGUGGGGAGCGAACAGG
This 254-nucleotide ribosomal RNA is filed under the name uncultured bacterium. Its description in RNAcentral is "partial 16S ribosomal RNA". It matches the Rfam family "Bacterial small subunit ribosomal RNA", at positions 524 to 776 of the family's 1533-position model. The record is from RNAcentral.